RNAcentral lists this ribosomal RNA (494 nucleotides) under uncultured soil bacterium. Its description in RNAcentral is "bacterial SSU rRNA". It matches the Rfam family "Bacterial small subunit ribosomal RNA", at positions 26 to 517 of the family's 1533-position model. The record is from RNAcentral.
AGAUUGAACGCUGGCGGCAGGCCUAACACAUGCAAGUCGAGCGGUAGAGAGGUGCUUGCACCUCUUGAGAGCGGCGGACGGGUGAGUAAUGCCUAGGAAUCUGCCUAGUGGUGGGGGAUAACGUUCGGAAACGGACGCUAAUACCGCAUACGUCCUACGGGAGAAAGCGGGGGACCUUCGGGCCUCGCGCCAUUAGAUGAGCCUAGGUCGGAUUAGCUAGUUGGUGAGGUAAUGGCUCACCAAGGCGACGAUCCGUAACUGGUCUGAGAGGAUGACCAGUCACACUGGAACUGAGACACGGUCCAGACUCCUACGGGAGGCAGCAGUGGGGAAUAUUGGACAAUGGGCGAAAGCCUGAUCCAGCCAUGCCGCGUGUGUGAAGAAGGUCUUCGGAUUGUAAAGCACUUUAAGUGGAGAAGGUUGUAACUUAAUACGUUGCAACUUUGACGUUACCGACAGAAUAAGCAACCGGCUAACUUCGUAGCCAGCAGCCG